GAUGAAGAACGCAGCGAAAUGCGAUAAGUAGUGUGAAUUGCAGAAUUCAGUGAAUCAUCGAAUCUUUGAACGCACAUUGCGCCUCCUGGUAUUCCGGGAGGCAUGCCUGUUCGAGCGUCAUUAAAAACCACUCAAGCUCUUUUGCUUGGUAUUGGGAGAUGAGUAUACUUUUCCUAGUUUACUCACUUUCGAAAUUCAAAGGCGUAGAGCCCCACAUACCACAGCGUAGUAAGUUUUUCUUUCGCUUGGAGUGUGAGGUGAUAUUGCCACAAACCCCCAAUUAUUUUCUAGGUUGACCUCGGAUCAGGUAGGGAUACCCGCUGAACUUAAGCAUAUCAAUAAGCGGAGGA
Molecule: unclassified non-coding RNA, 350 nt
Filed under: soil metagenome
Description: partial contains 5.8S ribosomal RNA, internal transcribed spacer 2, and large subunit ribosomal RNA
Rfam family: 5.8S ribosomal RNA (bases 1-120)
Source: RNAcentral